CACAAGAGACCCAAAUUAACUGUAGUACGGCGUAAAGAGUGGCACCAUGCUAUCCUAACCAACUAAGAUCAAAAUGCAACUAAGCCGUCAUAAGCCAAAGAUGCAUCUAAAACCACCCUCAACACGAUCUUAGCCUCUCCGACUAAUUAAAYCCCACGAAAGCUAGGGCACAAACUGGGAUUAGAUACCCCACUAUGCCUAGCCCUAAAUCUUGAUACUUCCUACCACUAAAGUAUCCGCCCGAGAACUACGAGCACAAAYGCUUAAAACUCUAAGGACUUGGCGGUGCCCCAGACCCACCUAGAGGAGCCUGUUCUAUAAUCGAUAACCCACGAUACACCCAACCACCCCUUGCCAAAACAGCCUAUAUACCGCCGUCGCCAGCCCACCUCUCCUGAGAGCCCAACAGUGAGCAUAAUAGCCCCACAUCCGCUAGCAAGACAGGUCAAGGUAUAGCCUAUGGGAUGGAAGAAAUGGGCUACAUUUUCUAAGAUAGACAAUUUCACGGAAGGGGACAUGAAACCGUCCCUAAAAGGCGGAUUUAGCAGUAAAGCRGGAUAAUAAAGCCCSCUUUAAACUGGCCCUGAGGCACGUACAUACCGCCCGUCACCCUCCUCACAAGCUACACACACAUAUAACUAAUACGUUCCCCACCAGCUGAAGAUGAGGUAAGUCGUAACAA
This 682-nucleotide ribosomal RNA is filed under the name Spheniscus mendiculus (Galapagos penguin). RNAcentral describes it as "partial 12S ribosomal RNA". It matches the Rfam family "Bacterial small subunit ribosomal RNA", at positions 526 to 1494 of the family's 1533-position model. The record is from RNAcentral. Lineage: Eukaryota; Metazoa; Chordata; Aves; Sphenisciformes; Spheniscidae.